AGUGAACGCUGGCGGUAGGCCUAACACAUGCAAGUCGAACGGCAGCACAGUAAGAGCUUGCUCUUACGGGUGGCGAGUGGCGGACGGGGGAGGAAUACAUCGGAGUCUACUUUUUCGUGGGGGAUAACGUAGGGAAACUUACGCUAAUACCGCAUACGACCUACGGGUGAAAGCAGGGGAUCUUCGGACCUUGCGCGAUUGAAUGAGCCGAUGUCGGAUUAGCUAGUUGGCGGGGUAAAGGCCCACCAAGGCGACGAUCCGUAGCUGGUCUGAGAGGAUGAUCAGCCACACUGGAACUGAGACACGGUCCAGACUCCUACGGGAGGCAGCAGUGGGGAAUAUUGGACAAUGGGCGCAAGCCUGAUCCAGCCAUACCGCGUGGGUGAAGAAGGCCUUCGGGUUGUAAAGCCCUUUUGUUGGGAAAGAAAAGCAGCAGGUUAAUACCCCGCUGUUCUGACGGUACCCAAAGAAUAAGCACCGGCUAACUUCGUG
Molecule: ribosomal RNA, 492 nt
Filed under: uncultured bacterium
Lineage: Bacteria
Description: partial 16S ribosomal RNA
Rfam family: Bacterial small subunit ribosomal RNA
Source: RNAcentral